CCAGCAGGGGAAAAAAUUACCCAUUACAUCCAGAGGGAUAAUUGGUCAUGCAGCUUUAUUUAUCAUUUUAUACCUUCUUAGUAUGGGAUGGAUUUCCUUUCAAAUAAAUUCAUUACAUGCUUAGAUAGCUACAUACAGAUUGAAGUGAAUUCUAUGAAGACCUUGCAUGUAGAAAACCCUUCUUACUAUACAUCAAUUUAAGCAAAAGCUUGCACAUGAAUGAGUGCUGGUGUUAAAAUCCACCUUUCACUCCUCGUUCACAAGCAGCAGACACAUUGCAGCAGUAGCACAAGGAAACCCACAUAGGGCAAAGUACAGUGUUUACAUAGUGCGACCAUUUUUAGAGGAAAGACUCUAGCAAGGCCGCAUUUUUUAAAAAUCAAACUCACAAAUUAAGAUUGAGAUAGGAGGGGAGAAGGGAAGUCAAUAGGGAUUAAGUCAAAGUCUCAGUUUUGUUGUGCAGAUAGACUUUGUAUAUAUAGGCACACACACUAGGCUAAAUAGAAUAAUUUAAAAGGCAGUUGGAAAAUUUCAUAUUGCUCUUUAUCAUCAAAAAAAAAAAAAAAAAAAAAGAAAGAAAAAGAAAAAAAAAAAAGAAAAAAAAAGAUUUGAACUGUUUUACUGUCCCUGUUCUCAUUUGUUCUAGACAGAGGCAAGGGUGCAGAUCUUUUUUUUUUUUUUUUUUUUCACAUUUACAGAAAUGAUUCUUUAGUGCACUGUAAUAUUACAGUAAAAAGGAACUAUCUCUUAAAGACAAUUUGAUCAGAUGUUGUCCGAUCAGAACUAUGGACUAUUACUAGGGAGGUGCCAACCAGUCCGUGCUAUCUAUCAUGGAUCAUCUAUUGCCGUUUUUGUUCUCCUGGGUCAAAAUUUCACAACAAAAUCAACUUUUUUCUUUAACAUCGUUCCCUUAGAUACAAAUAGUCAUACGUACAUACCUAACUACACAUACACUCUGUCCACACAUACACACACAUAGAAGCUGAAUGAAAUUUUUUUCAUCAUUUCUGGGAGGCAAAACUUAGUGUUAUGUUGUGCAAAUGAUUUGGCUACUACAGGAAAUGAAGGCAUUAGGUGUAAAAAUUAGAAGUGUGCUCAGUCAGCCAAAAUAAAUGUAAACAAACAGCAGGCUUUCACUAAGCAAUUCAGGUGUCUUAGCACCAGCUCUCAGCACCAAGGGAAUUUCCCCGUGUUAAAUACUAAGUUUGUGAUGGAUAAACUUGGUGAUGUUUAUCCAUCUAAAACGUGCAAAGAGACUCAUGGUUUAGGCUUGAAUACACUUGUUCUCUGAAGAUUCUAUCAAUUGGACCUAGCCUACAUUCAUUCCUCUCUUCCCUGAAAACAGCGUCCCAGCAACAAUGCAAGCUAAAGAAUGCUGAAAACACAUGUAAUGUAAUGGAAAGAGGGCACUUGAUAUCAUAGGAUAGAGGAAUAAACACAGAGGUCCCUCAAAACAGUCUAAGUGAAGGUACAGCGUAUCAAAAAACAUUCGAUGCUCACUGUCAUGGAAGUAAGCCACAGAUACAGAUUAAACAUGAAGAAAGCUA
Molecule: long non-coding RNA, 1547 nt
Organism: Sarcophilus harrisii (Tasmanian devil)
Lineage: Eukaryota; Metazoa; Chordata; Mammalia; Dasyuromorphia; Dasyuridae
Source: Ensembl